AUUGAACGCUGGCGGCAUGCCUUACACAUGCAAGUCGAGCGCGAAAGGGGGGCAACCCCGAGUAGAGCGGCGGACGGGUGAGUAACGCAUCGGAACGUGCCCAGUAGUGGGGGACAACCUCGAGAAAUCGAGGCUAAUACCGCAUACGACCCACGGGUGAAAGCGGGGGACCGGCAAGGCCUCGCGCUAUUGGAGCGGCCGAUGUCCGAUUAGCUAGUUGGCGGGGUAAGAGCCCACCAAGGCGACGAUCGGUAGCUGGUCUGAGAGGACGACCAGCCACACUGGGACUGAGACACGGCCCAGACUCCUACGGGAGGCAGCAGUGGGGAAUUUGGACAAUGGGGGCAACCCUGAUCCAGCCAUGCCGCGUGCGGGAAGAAGGCCUU
RNAcentral lists this ribosomal RNA (386 nucleotides) under uncultured bacterium. Its description in RNAcentral is "bacterial SSU rRNA". It matches the Rfam family "Bacterial small subunit ribosomal RNA", at positions 29 to 418 of the family's 1533-position model. The record is from RNAcentral.